Long non-coding RNA from Vespula vulgaris, 432 nucleotides. RefSeq lists it as uncharacterized. NCBI's taxonomy places the organism in Eukaryota, Metazoa, Arthropoda, Insecta, Hymenoptera, Vespidae. The transcript has 4 exons. The record is from RefSeq and is a predicted model, not a curated record.
CGUUACGGGAUCGAACGGUUAAAUUGAAAUCGCGGAAAUAUCAGUGAACAAUACUAAGAUUUUCGACAUGGAUUAACAUCGAAAUAAGGUCCAUUGCUUCGUUGUUGCCGAUAGGAAAGGAAACGUCUUACUGAAUCGAUUUAAGGACAAGGUUCUUCUCGAGAAAAGGGACGAGUGAAAAUAAUAUGUUUUCAACCUUAUUAAAACAAGAAUAUAUGAAAAAUAAAGAAUAGAGAGUCUACAAAGAAGGAAAGAAAGGAUCACUUAUGUCAAUUGAAGAAGGAUGAAUUUUUAAAAAAGAACAUCUGAUUCAUGAGAAUGGCAUCUUCGAAAUCCUUGGACGUGCUCGAACGACGAUCCUGAUCCUUCGUAUUAUUCGUCGUCGUUGGAUUCAAGGUUAUCAUUUCGCAACCCUGUGUCACCUGGACCCUG